RNAcentral lists this unclassified non-coding RNA (66 nucleotides) under soil metagenome. RNAcentral's name for it is "partial internal transcribed spacer 1". The record is from RNAcentral.
UGAAUUAAUAAUAUUUGUGAAAUUUCAACAAACAACAUCAAUUUUAUAGUCUAUUAUUUUUAAUUA